This 154-nucleotide non-coding RNA is filed under the name Chloroflexota bacterium. RNAcentral describes it as "Chloroflexi bacterium Glycine sequence". It matches the Rfam family "Glycine riboswitch aptamer". From Rfam's summary of the family: This family represents the bacterial glycine riboswitch. Lineage: Bacteria; Bacillati; Chloroflexota. The record is from RNAcentral.
AACAGUUGUAUGGGAAGAGAUCCCCAGCGAUGGUUGAGUAGCCAUGAAUGAAACGAAUGGCGUAUCGAAACCUGAGCGAAGGACGCCGAAGGUGCAAAUCUGGAAAAUAGCAAAACCAGACGAAUCUCUCAGGCAAAAGGACCCUACAACUGCA